CUACGGGAUGCAGCAGUGGGGAAUAUUGGACAAUGGGGGAAACCCUGAUCCAGCAAUGCCGCGUGUGUGAAGAAGGCCUGCGGGUUGUAAAGCACUUUCGGUUGGGAGGACUGCUUCUAGCACUAAUAUUGUUGGAAGUUGACGUUAUCUUCAGAAGAAGCACCGGCUAACUCCGCGCCAGCAGCCGCGGUAAUACGGAGGGUGCAAGCGUGUAAUCGGAAUUACUGGGCGUAAAGCGCGCGUAGGCGGCUAGAUCAGUCGGGUGUGAAAGCCCCGGGCCUAACCUGGGAACUGCAUCCGAUACUGUCUAGCUUGAGUACAGGAGAGGAGAGUGGAAUUCCACAUGUAGCGGUGAAAUGCGUAGAUAUGUGGAGGAACACCAAUGGCGAAGGCAGCUCUCUGGCCUGAUACUGACGCUGAGGUGCGAAAGCGUGGGGAGCAAACAGGAUUAGAUACCCGGGUAGUC
This 466-nucleotide ribosomal RNA is filed under the name uncultured bacterium. RNAcentral describes it as "partial 16S ribosomal RNA". It matches the Rfam family "Bacterial small subunit ribosomal RNA", at positions 339 to 795 of the family's 1533-position model. The record is from RNAcentral.